RNAcentral lists this ribosomal RNA (593 nucleotides) under Platycryptus californicus. Its description in RNAcentral is "partial 16S ribosomal RNA". The stretch from base 128 to 422 matches the Rfam family "Bacterial large subunit ribosomal RNA", at positions 2073 to 2647 of the family's 2925-position model. The record is from RNAcentral. Lineage: Eukaryota; Metazoa; Arthropoda; Arachnida; Araneae; Salticidae.
UUUAGUGCUAAGGUAGCAUAAUCAUUUGUCUUUUAAAUGAAGACUAGAACAAAAGAUUUAACAUCUUAAUUAUUUUAUCUAUUAAUCUAUUUAAAUUUUUCUUAAAAGUAAAAAGACUUUUAUUAUGUAGAAAGACGACAAGACCCUAUUGAACUUAACUUAAGUUAAACUGGGGCAGUUAAUUAAUUAAUAUUUUAAAAUAAAUUAAUACAAAAAUAUCCAAUCAAUUGAUAAACUAGUUACCAUAGGGAUAACAGCAUAAUUUAACCUUAAAGACCUUAUUCAUAGUUAAGAUUAUGACCUCGAUGUUGAAUUAAUAACCUAAUUAAAGCAAGAUUUAAUAAAGGAAGUCUGUUCGACUUUUAAAAAAUUACAUGAUUUGAGUUCAGACCGGCGUAAGCCAGGUCGGUUUCUAUCUUCUAGAUAAAUUUUUGUAGUACGAAAGGACCUAAAAAUAUUUUUUAUAUAAUUGGCAGAAUAAUGCAUUAGAAUUAGAAUCUAAUUAAACUUUAAUUAAUUUUAUAAUUAAUUACAUUCUAAUUAUUAUUAGAAUUUUAAUCAGAGUAGCAUUCUACACUAUUUUAGAACGAAAA